AGCUCAGCAAGCCCAAAUUAGAUUUUUUUUGAAAAAACCCAAACUUAAUAUAAAAUAAAAUAAAAAAUCACGAAAACCAAAGGUCUGUCCCCACGACCCUUCAUUCUCCAUCAAACCUCUGCAAACCAUAUCAUAGAAGUACAUUGUUAAUACCAUGUCAUAAAAGUACAUUGUUAAUAACAUGUCAUAAAAGUGCAUUACUAAUACCAUGC
RNAcentral lists this long non-coding RNA (212 nucleotides) under Prunus persica (peach). Its description in RNAcentral is "long non-coding RNA (PPER_LNC004312)". Lineage: Eukaryota; Viridiplantae; Streptophyta; Magnoliopsida; Rosales; Rosaceae. The record is from RNAcentral.